GGCCGGUCUUCCCGCAACGAUACGCUGUGAACCCCGCCAGGCCCGGAAGGGAGCAACGGUAGCAGCGGACUCGUGUGCCGGGCGCGGGCGGGUCCGG
This 97-nucleotide signal recognition particle RNA is filed under the name Gammaproteobacteria bacterium. RNAcentral describes it as "signal recognition particle sRNA small type". It matches the Rfam family "Bacterial small signal recognition particle RNA". Rfam says of the family: The signal recognition particle (SRP) is a universally conserved ribonucleoprotein involved in the co-translational targeting of proteins to membranes. Archaeal SRP consists of a 7S RNA and homologues of the eukaryotic SRP19 and SRP54 proteins. Lineage: Bacteria; Pseudomonadati; Pseudomonadota; Gammaproteobacteria. The record is from RNAcentral.